GAUGAAGAACGUAGCGAAAUGCGAUAAGUAGUGUGAAUUGCAGAAUUCAGUGAAUCAUCGAAUCUUUGAACGCACAUUGCGCCCGCCGGUAUUCCGGCGGGCAUGCCUGUUCGAGCGUCAUUUCAACCAUCAAGCCCUGGGCUUGUGUUGGGGACCUGCGGCUGCCGCAGGCCCUGAAAUGCAGUGGCGGGCUCGCAAGACACACCGAGCGUAGUAGCUUACAACCUCGCUUUGGGAGUGCUGCGGGUGCUGGCCGUAAAGCGACCUUUGCGUCUUUAGCACUAGGUUGACCUCGGAUCAGGUAGGAGGACCCGCUGAACUUAAGCAUAUCAUAAGCGGAGGA
RNAcentral lists this unclassified non-coding RNA (343 nucleotides) under soil metagenome. RNAcentral's name for it is "partial contains 5.8S ribosomal RNA, internal transcribed spacer 2, and large subunit ribosomal RNA". The stretch from base 1 to 120 matches the Rfam family "5.8S ribosomal RNA", at positions 35 to 154 of the family's 154-position model. The record is from RNAcentral.